AGCUAAGGAAAACCCUCGCGCCCCUGGAGACGAGACCGGGUAGCAUCCAUCCAGCACCCGGAGGUGGUGGUUGGUAGUGGGGGGGUUGGAGAAGAAAACCUCCCCUUGCGCGCGCGCACGCACGCUCCGGAACCCCGCACCUACCCGGGUCCGACCGACCCGCACCUGCCUGCCUCCUCGCAGGCUCCGCGGGGUGCGCGGCGGUGCCCCCUGCAACCGGGGCACGGCGCUCCUGGGCUGCUGCUGGACAUCCCCAAAGGAGGCGGGGAGCAGGAGGAGGAGGAGGAAGAGAAGAAGGAGGAGGAGGAGGAGGAGGAGGAGGUGGAGGGCGGCGCGCAGGGCGGAGAAGGGAAGCCAGAAAGUAGCAGAAAGUGAGGCUGGCUGGCGGCGGGCGGCAGGAAGUCGGGGUGCCCCAAAACGCAGCCCGAUUGCCAGGCGGCGAGAGUGAAAGAGGAAGGAAACUGCAGGGGAGGAAGCGCAGCCGCAGCCUAGGGUGGUGUUGGGGGGCCUGGGCCGAGCAUCCCCACCGCUGAGCAUCCAUCUCCACGGGGCUCCGCGCGCAGCCGCCUCCAUCCGUGCGCCCCUUCCCCAGCGCGCACCAACCCGGGGUCACCCCCGCGCGCCCCUCGGCUGCCAUGGCCCGGGAGAACGGCGAGAGCAGCGCGUCCUGGAAGAAGCCAGCCGAGGACAUCAAGAAGAUCUUCGAGUUUAAGGAGACCCUCGGCACCGGGGCAUUCUCCGAAGUGGUCUUAGCUGAAGAGAAGGCGACGGGAAAGCUAUUUGCUGUGAAGUGCAUCCCCAAAAAGGCGCUGAAGGGCAAAGAAAGUAGCAUCGAGAAUGAGAUCGCCGUGCUGAGGAAAAUUAAGCAUGAGAAUAUCGUGGCCCUGGAAGACAUCUAUGAAAGCCCGAAUCACCUGUACCUGGUAAUGCAGCUGGUAUCUGGAGGGGAGCUGUUCGACCGCAUCGUGGAGAAGGGCUUUUACACGGAGAAGGACGCCAGCACCCUCAUCCGCCAGGUGCUGGAUGCUGUGUACUACUUGCACAGGAUGGGCAUCGUGCACCGGGACCUCAAGCCUGAGAACCUACUGUACUACAGUCAGGAUGAGGAAUCCAAGAUCAUGAUCAGCGACUUUGGGCUGUCCAAGAUGGAGGGCAAAGGCGACGUCAUGUCCACAGCCUGUGGCACGCCGGGCUACGUGGAUCUGACGCUUUCCGCUUGUGUCUCUGUACCCUCCCAGCUCCCGAAGUCCUGGCUCAGAAACCCUACAGCAAAGCCGUGGACUGCUGGUCCAUCGGGGUCAUCGCCUACAUCCUGCUCUGCGGCUACCCACCCUUCUAUGAUGAGAACGACUCCAAGCUCUUUGAACAGAUCCUCAAGGCCGAGUAUGAGUUUGACUCCCCCUACUGGGACGACAUUUCCGACUCAGCCAAGGACUUCAUUCGGAAUCUCAUGGAGAAAGACCCCAAUAAAAGAUACACGUGUGAGCAGGCAGCUCGGCACCCGUGGAUCGCUGGGGACACAGCCCUCAGCAAAAACAUCCAUGAGUCUGUCAGUGCGCAAAUCCGGAAGAACUUCGCCAAAAGCAAGUGGAGACAAGCAUUCAAUGCCACGGCCGUCGUGAGGCACAUGCGGAGACUUCAGCUGAGCAGUGGCCUGGACAGUAGCAACGCCGGUGUGUCCGGAGGCCUCAGCCUGGCCAGCCAAAAAGACUGUGCGCCUGGCCCCAUCCACGCUGUGUAGUCUCAUCUCCUCCUCCACGACAGAUCGAAGACCCCGGCCCACCACUGUGACCACUGCGCACUCGGGGAGCAAGUGACGGGCUCAGGAGUGCAGCCCCCCACCUGCAUGGCGCCCACCCAGGGCUGGGAGACGUUUUUUUAUGGCCAUAUUUUAUACUGCGACUCUCCAGUGUUGUUUCUCACACACUGAACCUGCCUCAGGGGGGCCGAGUCAGGAUCCGGUGCUGCCCCUCGGACCCACGCAGGCUCUGAUGGGAUGGUCGGCCCCUCUGCACCCCCCCCCCCCAGUUCUGGCCUUCCCCUCCCCUCGGUCGAGGUCACCAUCCGAGUCAUUCUUGUUCUUUUUUUCCUAAUGUCAACCACGGUUUCAACUGGAUCGUUUCUGGAGUGAGUGCCGCGCGCUCCCCAAUUCCUCUGUGACUCUGUCCUGUCCCACUCACCUCUCCUGGGCUUCAGGGAAAGCUUGGACCAUUUUUUUUUUUAUUUCUUCCCUCCAAAGGGGGAUCAUUUUAGUGUUGAUUCUUUGGGGGAGGGGUCUCUGUCACCUCAUUGCUCAUUCUGGGACUGGUUGCCCAUCUCUGCUGCCAAGGCUGCUCUGUUCCUCUUCCCUCUCACACAUGGCCAGCACCCAGAAUCCGUACUGCUCUGCGAGAGGCCAAGAGGACCCCAAGAAGUCCCCCCCCCCUCUGCACCUUCUUGCCAUAUGUGGUCAGAAUGUCAGCAGCAGCUCCUGGAGAUGAAGGCAACAUUUGAGAAGUUGAAGGAGAUACCCCACACACACACUUAGGAAAGACGUGAUGGGUGACCGGGUGGCCAGGAAGGCCUUGUACCCCGGUGCCCUCUGUGAAUUCACCCCGUUUUCUAACACGUCUGUUUGUAACCUUCUACUGUAAAUGACUCCACUGGCUGCCUGUUGCUUCUGUCAAUACUGGCCAGGUUCUUCCUGGCAUGCUCUCUCGUUCUCUCAUUCUGUCUCUUUCUCUCUUCUCUGGGGCUGGGUGGUCCCCCUUUGUUGGGGGUGGCAGGAGGGCUGAGCCCCAAGCUGGCUGGCGUGGAGAGGGCAGGGCAAGCAUGUCAAAACCCAGUGCCUGUGCAACCAGGACGGAGGGACUGCACAUCAGAAUGGCGGUGCUGUGGGCCAGGGACACUGGCCUGUGACCCCCCCAUGGUGGGCAGGCCCAGUAUGCUAUGGCUAAUGCAGCAUGAUGCCUGACCUUGUGGCUUUCAGAGCAUGCAUGAACAUA
Suncus etruscus (white-toothed pygmy shrew) is the source of this 2984-nucleotide RNA transcript. It is a transcript of the gene named calcium/calmodulin dependent protein kinase ID, with no coding region annotated. Lineage: Eukaryota; Metazoa; Chordata; Mammalia; Eulipotyphla; Soricidae. The record is from RefSeq and is a predicted model, not a curated record. The transcript has 11 exons.